UGCGAACUCCUACGGGAGGCAGCAGUGGGGAAUUUUGGACAAUGGGGGCAACCCUGAUCUAGCACUGCCGCGUGAGUGAAGAAGGCCUUCGGGUUGUAAAGCUCUUUUGUCAGGGAAGAAACGGUAGUAGCUAAUAUCUAUUACUAAUGACGGUACCUGAAGAAUAAGCACCGGCUCACUACGUGCCAGCCGCCGAGGUAAUACGUAGGGUGCAAGCGUUAAUCGGAAUUACUGGGCGUAAAGCGUGCGCAGGCGGUUGUGUAAGUCAGAUGUGAAAUCCCCGGGCUCAACCUGGGAAUUGCAUUUGAGACUGCUCGGCUAGAGUGUGUGAGAGGGGGGUAGAAUUCCACGUGUAGCAGUGCAAUGCGUAGAUAUGUGGAGGAAUUCCGAUGGCGAAGGCAGACCCCUGGGAUAACACUGACGCUCAUGCACGAAAGCGUGGGGAGCAAACAGGAUUAGAAACCCUGGUAGUCCAGAUG
This 479-nucleotide ribosomal RNA is filed under the name uncultured bacterium. RNAcentral's name for it is "bacterial SSU rRNA". It matches the Rfam family "Bacterial small subunit ribosomal RNA", at positions 330 to 801 of the family's 1533-position model. The record is from RNAcentral.